RNAcentral lists this ribosomal RNA (415 nucleotides) under uncultured Glomeromycotina. Its description in RNAcentral is "SSU rRNA". It matches the Rfam family "Eukaryotic small subunit ribosomal RNA", at positions 679 to 1092 of the family's 1831-position model. Lineage: Eukaryota; Fungi; Glomeromycota. The record is from RNAcentral.
ACUGGUCUCGCUGAUCCCUCCCUCUUGACAAACUGUGAUGCCUUUAAUUUGGUGUCACAGGGAACCAGGACUGUUACUUUGAAAAAAUUAAAUUGUUUAAACCAGGCUUUCCCUUGAAUACAUUAGCAUGGAAUAAUGAAAUAGGACGUUUGAUCCUAUUUUGUUGGUUUCUAGGACUGACGUAUUGAUUAAUAGGGAUAUUUGGGGGCAUUAGUAUUCAAUUGUCAGAGGUGAAAUUCUUGGAUUUAUUGAAAACUAACUACUGCUAAAGCAUUUGCCAAGGAUGUUUUCAUUAAUCAAGAACGAAAGUUAGGGGAGCGAACACGAUCCGAUACCGUCGUGGUCUUAACCAUAAACUAUGCCGACUAGGGAUCGGAUGAUGUUAAUUUUUUAAUGACUCAUUCGGCGCCUUACC